AGAUGGGAGACCAACAGAAUAUUGCAAAGCUAGCUAUGCAAUUAUGCCAUCACUGUCCCUAGAGUCCUAUUUAUAUUCUAACCAAACAUCACUUUUCCUCCUAUGGGUCUUGCCUCAAUAAAAGACCACAUAGUCUGCCUCACAUGACAUAUCUGCAAACUUUCACUUCAUUUACCUGAUCAUGAUUUUGCUUUGGUAAGUGAUAUCUAUCGAGAAAGUUAUUCACUUCAUUUACAUUUCCCAGUUCUGUACAUUGUAGGUUUUGGAAGUAUGCCCUAAUGAUGCUUUGGAUUUCCUCAGUGUCUAUCAUUAUGUCCCCAUUUUCAUUUAUGAUUUUAGUAGUUUGGAUAUUGUCUCUCUGACUUUCAGUUGGUUUGACUAAAGGUUUCUCUACCUUGAUGAUUUCCUCAAAGAACUACCUCUUGGUUUCAUUGAUUCUUUUUAUUGUUUUUUGUUUUUAAUGUAUUGACUUCAGCCCUGAGCUUAAUUAUUUCCUGCUCUCUAUUCCUACUGGGUGUACUUAUUCUUUUUUUUGUUUUCCAGAGCUUUCAGGUGUGUUAUUAAAUUGCUAGUAUGGGAUCUCUCCAAAUUCUUUAUAAAGCCACAUAGUGCUACAAACUUUCCUCUUAGCUGGGCUUUCAUUGUCAGUGAAUUCUAGAAAGUCAAUUUCUUUCUUCUUCCUUAGUCCAGUGGUCAAGGAACACACAGGUUUUUCUGUUUCCACAACUGUGUAGGCUUUCUGUCAUUUCUGUUGUUGAAGUCCAGCUUUAUUCAAUGGUGGUCUGAAAACAUACAAAGGGUAUUUCAAUUUUCUUGUAUGUGCCAAGACUGGCUUUGUGGCCAGGUAUAUUAUUAAUUUUGGAGAAGACUGCAUGAGCUGUAAAGAAGAAGGAAUAUUAUUGACUUUGGAAGAAAUGUUUUGUAGAUAUCUAUUACGUCCAUUUGAUUCAUAAUAUCUCUUAGUUUCAUUAUUUCUCUGUUGAGUCUCUCUGUUUAGUGUCUCUAGAUGACUUGUCCAUUGGUGAGAGUGGGAUAUUGAACUCUCCCACUGUUAUAGUGUAUGGAUGUGUGUGUGUGCAUGCACACACAUGCGAUAUGUGUGCUUUUGGUGAGGUGAAAUUAGUUUUUUCCUGUGUUUUCUUAGGUUUUUUUAAACGCCGUUGUGCUUUAGUUUUACUUGAAGUAUCCUCUGUAGGGCUGGAUUUGUGGAAAGACAUUGUUUAAAUUUGAUUUUCUAAUUGAAAAUCUUAUUUUACCCAUCUCCGGUGAUUUAAAAGCUAAUACCAAUUCUCCUCAAAUUAUUCGACAAUAUAUAAACAAUGAAAAUAUGGAGACGCAUGGAUGGGGGUGGGGGGACCUCGAGUAAGUCCUAGAGACCUGAGAUAUGAGAAGCUCCCAGGACUCAAUGAGAGUGACAUUAGCCAAAAUGCCCAGUAGCGGAAAGAUAUAACUUGAUCAGUCCACAUCCAGAGGUCAGACAAGGUAGGUUGGAGGUAUGGGCACACCAACCUACCUUCAAAAUUUUUGGUUCUUGUCUAACAGAAAUGCAAGGAUAAAAAUGGAGCAGAUCUUGAAGGAAUAGCCAUCCAGUGGCUGGCCCAACUUGGGACCCAUCCCAGAGGCAGGCACCAAACCCUGACACUAUCACUGAUGCCAUGUUUUACUUGCAGACAGGAGCCUAGCAUGGCUGUCUUCUGAGAAGGUCUACCAGCAGCUGACUGAGACAGAUGCAGAUAAUUACAUUACAGAUAAUUGGACUAAGGUCAAGGACCCCUAUUGAAGAGUUAGGAGAAAGAUCAAAGGAACUGAAGGGGAUGAAAGGAGCUACCCCACAUGAAGACCAACAGCAGUGUCAACUAACCUGGACCCCUGAAUACUCCCAGAAACAACAACCAAAGAACAUACAUGGGCUUAUUCAAGGCCUGUGGCACAUAUCUAGCAGAGAACUGAUUGCCUUGAGUAUCCCCAGAGGGAGAGGAUGUGCCCAGUUCUGUAGAGACUAUAUACCAGGUAGAUACCUGGGGAGGUCACCCUCUCAGAGGUAAAAUGGAGGGAAGACAGAGUGGGGAAUUCUGGGAGGGGGUAAUGGGAGAUGGGGCAAUAUUUGGGAUGAAAAUAAAUAUGUGAUAAAAAAAAAAACAGAACAAACACUGCCAAAUUCAUUCUAGGAGGCCACAGUUACCCUAAUAACUUAAUGGUGAGGUUUGGUCUGUUGCUAUGUAUUGUAAUGCUAAAUUCUCUAUCACAAGGUCUAAUUGCCUUAAGGCAAUGCAACCCUCUGGUAUACUAAUUUUUGUUGUACAAAUCUUGCCCUGUAAGUUAUCUUGUUAAUAAAGAUGCCUUCAGGCUCUAGUUGGACAGAAAAGAGUUAGGUGGGGCUUUGGUUCCUGGGAUUGAGGCCUGAGGCAGAGUCCAUGAAGGAGAGAGAAAAGAAGAAGGAAUGAGGCAUGCUAGGGUGCGUGAAUUGUGAGCACAUGGUCAUGUGGGCUGCUACAUGGAGUAGGAGCAGCCCAGGGAAAACAUGGCAAGUGAUAUCUCAGGAUUAUUGACAGGAAAAUAGACAAAGUAACAAAGAGGGUUGAUAUCUGCCUAGCUCUAGUGCUUUAAGGCUUAUUAUAAAUAGAAAGGUUUUGUGUCUUUUAUAUGGGAACUAAAUGACCUAAGGUGGAGUCAAAACCUCCAAAUAAUUUUACUACAACAGCUAAACCACAAAAUGGCACAACAAAGAAAGAGAAUUUCAGACCAAUCCCCCUAUGAACAUUCACAUAAAAAUAAUAAAAUAUUUGCACACUAAAUCUAAGAACACAUCAAAAACAUCAUCCAUCAUAAUCAAGUAAACUUCAUUACACAAAUGGAGGGAUGGGUCAACAUGAAAAUCUACCAUUUAAUGCAACAUAUAAACAAAAUGAAUUUAAAUAAAACCACACAUUAUUAUCUCAUUAGAUUCUGAAAAAACCCUUUGAAAAAAAAUCCAAUACCCUUUCAUGAUAAAAAGUCUUGGAGAGAUCACAAGGCACACAUCUAAACACAAGAAAGGCAAUAUACAGCAAGCCAAUAGCUAACCUCAAACUAAAUGGAAACAAACUUAAAGCAAUCCCACUAAAUCGGGGACAAGGCAAGGCUGCCCACUCUCUCUCUGUCUAUUCAAUAUAGUACUUGAAGUUUGGCUAGAGCAAUAAGAAAACUAAAAGAGAUCAAAGGGAUAAAAAUUGGAAAGCAAUAAGUCAAAACAUCUUUAUUUGCAGAUGAUAUGAUAGUAUACACAAGGGACCCCCAAAAUUUACCAGGGAACUCCAACAACUGAUAAACACCACCAGCAAAGUGGCUAAAAACAAAAUUAACU
Molecule: long non-coding RNA, 3343 nt
Filed under: Mus musculus (house mouse)
Lineage: Eukaryota; Metazoa; Chordata; Mammalia; Rodentia; Muridae
Description: long non-coding RNA chr8:69312259-69315602
Source: RNAcentral